UACGUAGGGGGGCAAGCGUUGUCCGGAUUUAUUGGGCGUAAAGAGCUUGUAGGUGGUUUUGUCGCGUCUGCUGUGAAAAAUCCGAGGCUCAACCUCGGACUUGCAGUGGGUACGGGGCAGACUAGAGUGUGGUAGGGGGAGACUGGAAUUCCUGGUGUAGCGGUGGAAUGCGCAGAUAUCAGGAGGAACACCGAUGCGAAGGCAG
Molecule: ribosomal RNA, 205 nt
Filed under: uncultured bacterium
Lineage: Bacteria
Description: partial 16S ribosomal RNA
Rfam family: Bacterial small subunit ribosomal RNA
Source: RNAcentral